GUGGGGUCACAUACAUUAGAGGUUCCUAUCUGAUCUGAUGGCUGAUGAAGAGUCUUAAAGUUUGUGGACUAUGAGUCCUACAUGUCUGAAACUCUAUGAUCGAGAAUUAGGAUUCUCUGAUCAUGAGUCCCACACAUUUUGGGUACCGGGGUCAAGAGUCCCACUGGUUUGGGACUCUUCGAUCAAGGUUUCAUAUCGAUGGACUUUGAUAUCCGAUUGCCCAUCGAAUUUGAACUCAGUAUUUAUGAGAGGUUUAAUUAGUAAUUUGAUCACUAAUUAACUCAAUUCGAUUGAGUAAAUAUUUUUGGAUCAAGUCCAAUUGAAUUAGAUUCAGUUGGAUUUGACCCGAUUAGGUUAAGAGUUGACCUAAUCGUCGAGAUGGUUUGGUCCC
This 391-nucleotide long non-coding RNA is filed under the name Elaeis guineensis (African oil palm). RNAcentral's name for it is "long non-coding RNA (EGUI_LNC050964)". The record is from RNAcentral. Lineage: Eukaryota; Viridiplantae; Streptophyta; Magnoliopsida; Arecales; Arecaceae.